This 679-nucleotide ribosomal RNA is filed under the name Triticum aestivum (bread wheat). Its description in RNAcentral is "partial small subunit ribosomal RNA". Lineage: Eukaryota; Viridiplantae; Streptophyta; Magnoliopsida; Poales; Poaceae. The record is from RNAcentral.
CUGGGCGUUCCUCCAAAUCGGCUGGACCACGCGGAACGCCUCACUCGUGACUCUUCCCUUCCUCCACGACUCACCCACCCCGCGCCCCAGCCACCCACGACCUCUCCUCUCCUCUCUCCCUGGAUGGCCAUACCGGCGGCCGGCGGCCGUAGCACCUUCCCCUCCUGCGGGGCACCAUCUUCUGCCCCUGGUCGGAACUGCAGCCUCGCCGGCGUCCCCUGCCCCUUGUCUCUCCUCCUCGAACCCCAAAGAUCUGGUGGAAGGAGGCAUGCGGCCUGGUGCGACAGGAAGGCCGGCCGAGCUUUCUACCAUGGCUACCGAGCUCAAGUGGCUGGACGGCCUCGGUGCCGAAAAGUAACUGAAGGAGCAAGUGCACUUCACCCAUAGAUGACUUCACCCCACCGUCGGCUGAAAAAGAACAGGAGGAGUAUGGCCGAAUUUGGGUGGCUGCUGUUGAUCCAGAUUUUGGUAUCUGGGUAGCUGCUCUUGAUAUUUUGGUAUUUGUAGUAGCUCUACCGGAUUUUGGUAUUUGGGUAGCUGUUGUUGACCGAAUUUGGGUGGCUGCUGUUGAUUCAGAUUCAGACUUUGGUAUUUGGGUGGCUGCUGUUGAUCUUGUGUUUCAGUCCGAUUCUUUUCUUUCUGUUUCUCUACGAUUUGUUUUUGACAGAGUGUGCUCAAG